Molecule: long non-coding RNA, 364 nt
Organism: Stegodyphus dumicola
Lineage: Eukaryota; Metazoa; Arthropoda; Arachnida; Araneae; Eresidae
Source: RefSeq, a predicted model, not a curated record
AAUUUCUAAGAUUAGAAGUGCCGGAGCCCUAUGGAAGACUGUCAGCAAAGAGGAACAAGAUAUUGAAGUGCAGCCCCUCAAAAAAGAACCGUCCAUAAGAGUUUGCGAAUACACAGUAAUGCUAUAUAUGUAGCACACUGGUUGCUAUAAGGUCUGUGAAGCAUUCUGUUCAUAGUACAUUUUCAGAGCUGAUGCUCAACUUGAGUAAAUAUGAAUGCAGGAAAUGGAUGGGCUUGGACAUUUUAUGAUUGAAAACAAGUAGCCAAGUCGACAGACUAACUGCAUUUCAUUUGACAUUUUUAACACAUUCAAACUUGUAUCUUGUGUAUUAAUAAAUGAUGAUGGAAAGUGUGUAUAAAACCAA